UAUGGAAGUGUUAACUUAGUGGCGAACGGUGAGUAACGCGUGAGAAAACCUGCCUCUCAGUGGGGGACAACAGUUGGAAACGACUGCUAAUACCGCAUAACACUUUAGUACCGCAUGGUACAGAAGUCAAAGCUUUAUGUGCUGAGAGAUGGUCUCGCGUCUGAUUAGCUAGUUGGCGGGGUAACGGCCCACCAAGGCGACGAUCAGUAGCCGGUCUGAGAGGAUGAACGGCCACAUUGGGACUGAGAUACGGCCCAGACUCCUACGGGAGGCAGCAGUGGGGAAUAUUGGGCAAUGGGCGAAAGCCUGACCCAGCAACGCCGCGUGAAGGAAGAAGGCCUUCGGGUUGUAAACUUCUUUUAGCAGGGACGAAGGACGUGACGGUACCUGCAGAAAAAGCAACGGCUAACUACGUG
RNAcentral lists this ribosomal RNA (416 nucleotides) under uncultured bacterium. Its description in RNAcentral is "bacterial SSU rRNA". It matches the Rfam family "Bacterial small subunit ribosomal RNA", at positions 78 to 507 of the family's 1533-position model. The record is from RNAcentral.